Molecule: ribosomal RNA, 241 nt
Filed under: Clostridioides difficile
Lineage: Bacteria; Bacillati; Bacillota; Clostridia; Peptostreptococcales; Peptostreptococcaceae
Description: partial 23S ribosomal RNA
Rfam family: Bacterial large subunit ribosomal RNA
Source: RNAcentral
ACUUUAGAUAUGAUCCAGAGUACCACGGGACACGCGAACCCCUGUGGGAAGCAGGAGGGACCACCCUCCAAGGCUAAAUACUACCUAGUGACCGAUAGCGUAUAGUACCGUGAGGGCAAGGUGAAAAGAACCCCGGGAGGGGAGUGAAAUAGAACCUGCAACCCCGCACUUACAAGCUGUGGAAGCACAUUUCUUGUGUGACCGCGUACUUUUUGUAGAACGGCAAGAGUUACGUUAAGUA